AGUGAACGCUGGCGGUAGGCCUAACACAUGCAAGUCGAACGGCAGCACAGGAGAGCUUGCUCUCUGGGUGGCAAGUGGCGGACGGGUGAGGAAUACAUCGGAAUCUACUCUGUCGUGGGGGAUAACGUAGGGAAACUUACGCUAAUACCGCAUACGACCUACGGGUGAAAGCAGGGGACCCUCGGGCCUUGCGCGAUUGAAUGAGCCGAUGUCGGAUUAGCUAGUUGGCGGGGUAAAGGCCCACCAAGGCGACGAUCCGUAGCUGGUCUGAGGGGAUGAUCUGCACCACGUGAAAUGAGACACGGUCCAGACUCCUACGGGGGGCAGCAGUGGGGAAUAUUGGACAAUGGGCGCAAGCCUGGUCCGGCCAGACCGCGUGGGUGAAGAAGGCCUUCGGGUUGUAAAGCCCUUUUGUUGGGAAAGAAAGCCAGCUGGCUAAUACCCGGUUGGGAUGACGGUACCCAAAGAAUAAGCACCGGCUAACUUCGUGCCAGCAGCCGCCGUAA
This 506-nucleotide ribosomal RNA is filed under the name uncultured bacterium. RNAcentral's name for it is "partial 16S ribosomal RNA". It matches the Rfam family "Bacterial small subunit ribosomal RNA", at positions 29 to 523 of the family's 1533-position model. The record is from RNAcentral.